CCGUCUGCGCGAAACGACUGAAAUAAAAUUUUUUUUUUUUAUGACUAACUCGUUGAAAAUCUUUCUCCGAAACGGCGAAUAUUUUUACGAAACUAUCGUUACGUUUCACGCGAAUCAGUGACGUUGAGAGAAAGAGAGAGAGAGAGAGAGAGAGAAGAAAAAAGACUAAAAACGGAAAACGAAAAAUUUUCAAUAAAAAAACAACGACAUUUUUUUCCCACCGAAGAAGAAAGAAAGGACCUUCUUUAUUUGAACAAAAUAAAACACGCUGGCUAAAAUUUUUUGCACCGAAUUCUCACCAUUCUGGUGGCACGAUUUCUGCAGAUUGGAGCCGUCAAAUAUUUUCUCGGUAUCGUUGCUGAGGCCUAUCUGGUCAAUUGGCAUAAGAUACUCAUCGCACGACUCCCUGCAAUUUCCACUUCG
This 423-nucleotide unclassified non-coding RNA is filed under the name Athalia rosae (coleseed sawfly). RNAcentral describes it as "misc RNA ENSAEAG00005006225.1". The record is from RNAcentral. Lineage: Eukaryota; Metazoa; Arthropoda; Insecta; Hymenoptera; Athaliidae.